AAGCGGUGGAGCAUGUGGUUAAUUCGAAGCAACGCGAAGAACCUUACCUGGUCUUGACAUCCCGGAGACCCUUAGGAAACUAGGGGGUGCUUCCAUCUGGAAGAAUCUGGAGACAGGUGCUGCAUGGCUGUCGUCAGCUCGUGUCGUGAGAUGUUGGGUUAAGUCCCGCAACGAGCGCAACCCUUGCCUUUAGUUGCCAGCAGUUCGGCUGGGCACUCUAAAGGGACUGCCGGUGUUAAACCGGAGGAAGGUGGGGAUGACGUCAAGUCCUCAUGGCCUUUAUGACCAGGGCUACACACGUACUACAAUGGCCGAUACAAAGGGCAGCGACACUGCGAGGUGAAGCCAAUCCCGUAAAAUCGGUCUCAGUCCGGAUUGGAGUCUGCAACUCGACUCCAUGAAGUUGGAAUCGCUAGUAAUCGUGGAUCAGCAUGCCACGGUGAAUACGUUCCCGGGCCUU
RNAcentral lists this ribosomal RNA (460 nucleotides) under uncultured Desulfobulbus sp. RNAcentral describes it as "bacterial SSU rRNA". It matches the Rfam family "Bacterial small subunit ribosomal RNA", at positions 927 to 1382 of the family's 1533-position model. Lineage: Bacteria; Pseudomonadati; Thermodesulfobacteriota; Desulfobulbia; Desulfobulbales; Desulfobulbaceae. The record is from RNAcentral.